UGAAAAUAGAGUGACCCAAAUCUCUCGUGUGUGUUUGUGAGAGAGAAAGAAAUURAGCUGCAGUUCUGAGGUAGAGACACUGACUAUUCAUAGUAUGUUAAUUAAUUACAGUAAAGUAACCCUUUUGGACUACAUUAUCUGCCACAUUGAAGAACUCCGAGUUAAGUGAAUUAUCACUUCUACCUCUAAUCAGCAAUCAUAGGAUUCAUUCAUGCUCCUUAGAUGCCAGGUUAGGAUUACACACUAAUUUUCUGCCAUGGUCUAUGGACCCCCUGAAGUAGCCUUGGCCACCCCAUGUAUAAAACUCAUGUUCCGCCACUGCUUACAAACCCUAAUUUGACAAUUUGGAACAGCGCAUCUUGCCAUUUCAGCCUGGCGCAUUUUCAAUCUGCGCAAUCUCGAACAGCCUACUGUCACCCACAGAUUCACAGACUAGCAGCAAAUACAUUUGAAUGAAGCGGAAUCAGGAAAUGAAUGCCCACUCUCCAUUGCUAUUCAAUGAAGAUCCCACCUUCAUUCCGCUUUGAUCAACCUUUUCUGCCUCGUCGUGUGAAUCUGUGCCAGCAAUAGGCUAUUUUUAUAGACAAGCCAGGUCGUAAUUCCCCAAAAAUGAGAAAUGCCGGUACGGUGUUCCGGAAAUCUCUGGCCCAAAUCAACCACUAUUGCCGUCUGUGAACUGUCAUCUGUGUACCGCAUAGGCUAUUAACGCAUGGAGUCUUUUCUAAACAGAUGUUAUAACCAUAGAUAGUGGGCAUCUCUGACACCAGACUUUAAUUGACAUUUUCCUCAAUAGUACCACUGCAUAUGAUUUUACAACUCUUAGUAAAAACCCUUGUCAAAUCUGAUUGGCCUCCUCAAAGUUAGUCUCAGAAAUCCCAGACCUAGGGCAGUAUGCUGGAACAUUGUUAAUGUGGGAGGCAACCCGUCUACAAUAAAGACUCCAAUAAAGUAAUCAAACACUGAUUUGAUGCAAAUUAUCCUCAAAUUUCUACAGUAGAGCUGAUUGUUGUAGCCUAGCCUACCUUAGUCAAGGUUUGGGGGUCAAAUACACUCAUGGUGGGUACUUUACUUUUAUAUACAUAUUACCACACUGCUUACAAUCUGACUGUGGAAGUUAAGAUAUUUUAAGAAACAGUGCUUUGACACACACCCUGCUUUUCAGAUGUGCUCCGCCCAAAUGGCCCUCGCCAUUUUGAUUGGCAUUGCCACCAUUGAAACUGUGACUGGUUUUAGUAGCGGUGGUGUUGACAUGUCCUGUGGCACAAUGUUGCCCCAACAUGGUUCUCCCACACCUGAGAGUGGUCCGUUUAGUGUCCCAAAACAUUUCUGUUCCAGUGCUGCAGGAGAUGAGACUAUAGUGUCACUCCAAGCUGAUCCUGCCACUCCGUUUAAAGGGUUUCUGUUGGAGGCUAGGGAAUCACAGGAUGGACCUGCUGUUGGCACCUUCACUCUGCUCACUCYCRCUCAUAGCCGCCUUCUUCAGUGCAAUGGCAAUCCAGCAGCUGCUGUUACCCAACCCAACAACCAAGCCAAGACAUUCAUCGAAGCCAAGUGGAGAGCACCAUACAAUGGACUUUUCUAUUUCAGAGUCACAUUUAUUAAAAACAUGAUGAAGUUCUGGAUACCAGAGGCCAUUAACAUCACCACCUGUCCUACUACUACUACUACCCCUAUUACUACUACUACUAUCACAACUCCUACUAUCACUACUACUCUCAAUACU
This is a non-coding RNA of Salvelinus sp. IW2-2015, 1723 nucleotides long. The record is from RefSeq and is a predicted model, not a curated record. NCBI's taxonomy places the organism in Eukaryota, Metazoa, Chordata, Actinopteri, Salmoniformes, Salmonidae.